GGGCACCGGCGGAGGGACGAGGGGGGGAGACGUAGGUGGCUGGGGUGAAGCGGAAGUACUGGGCGUGAGGCGUGGGCAGGCGGUUUUGUAAGGCAGGGGGGAAAUCCCCUGGCUUAACCUGGGAACGGCGUUUGGGACUGCCAGGCUAGAGUACGGCAGAGGGGGGUGGAAUUCCACGUGUAGCAGUGAAAUGCGUAGAGAUGUGGAGGAACACCAAUGGCGAAGGCAGCCCCCUGGGUCGAUACUGACGCUCAUGCACGAAAGCGUGGGGAUCAAACAGGAUUAGAUACCCCAGUAGUC
RNAcentral lists this ribosomal RNA (300 nucleotides) under uncultured Rubritalea sp. Its description in RNAcentral is "partial 16S ribosomal RNA". The stretch from base 52 to 300 matches the Rfam family "Bacterial small subunit ribosomal RNA", at positions 547 to 795 of the family's 1533-position model. The record is from RNAcentral. Lineage: Bacteria; Pseudomonadati; Verrucomicrobiota; Verrucomicrobiia; Verrucomicrobiales; Rubritaleaceae.